This 766-nucleotide ribosomal RNA is filed under the name Dichotomyctere fluviatilis (green pufferfish). Its description in RNAcentral is "partial 16S ribosomal RNA". It matches the Rfam family "Bacterial large subunit ribosomal RNA", at positions 620 to 1890 of the family's 2925-position model. The record is from RNAcentral. Lineage: Eukaryota; Metazoa; Chordata; Actinopteri; Tetraodontiformes; Tetraodontidae.
UUAGCCAGCAAACCUUAGGCAAAGAGCACUUUAGUCUAAUUCCCCGAAACUGGACGAGUACUCCAAGACAGCCUACAUAGGGCACAUCCGUCUCUGUGGCAAAAGAGUGGAAAGAGCUUUGAGUAGAGGUGACAAACCUACCGAGCCCAGUAAUAGCUGGUUGCCCGAAAAUUGAGUUUAAGCUCAGCUUUUUAGCUUCUUGCCUCACCAACAGUAAAAACACAACCGAUUUCAAGAAACUAAAAAAGUUAGUCAAAGGGGGUACAGCCCCUCUGACCCAAGAAACAACUUUCCCAGGAGAAUAAGGAUCCUAAUAACAAAGGCCAUGUGUUUAGGUGGGCCUAAAAGCAGCCACCCUAUUGAAAGCGUUAAAGCUCAAACACACCCCCGCCACUAAUACCGAUAAACACAUCCUAACCCCUGACCCUUAUCGGGCCUUUCUAUGCAUACAUAGAAGAGACUAUGCUAAUAUGAGUAAUAAGGGGCCAGACCCCCUCCAAGCACAAGUGUACAUCGGAACGAACUCGCACCGAAGACUAACGAACCCAACCAAAGAGGGCAAUGAAUAUCAAACCAAACAACAAGAAAAACAUUCACAACCCCACCGUUAACCCUACACUGGCGUGCCUAAUUGGAAAGACUUAAAGAAAAAGAAGGAACUCGGCAAACCCAUAAGCCUCGCCUGUUUACCAAAAACAUCGCCUCUUGCAAAAACAAUGAAUAAGAGGUCCCGCCUGCCCUGCGAGUAUACGUUAACGGCCGCACA